Molecule: ribosomal RNA, 200 nt
Filed under: uncultured Staphylococcus sp.
Lineage: Bacteria; Bacillati; Bacillota; Bacilli; Caryophanales; Staphylococcaceae
Description: partial 16S ribosomal RNA
Rfam family: Bacterial small subunit ribosomal RNA
Source: RNAcentral
ACGGAGNAUACGACGAUAUUGUACACGCAUGGUUCGAUAGUGAAAGGUGGUUUUGCUAUCACUUAUAGAUGGACCCGCGCCGUAUUAGCUAGUUGGUAAGGUAACGGCUUACCAAGGCGACGAUACGUAGCCGACCUGAGAGGGUGAUCGGCCACACUGGAACUGAGACACGGUCCAGACUCCUACGGGAGGCAGCAGUC